UACAGAGGCCCCGAGCGUUAAUCGGAAUCACUGGGCUUAAAGGGUGCGUAGGCGGGUCAGUAAGCGCUUUGUGAAAUCCCGCAGCUCAACUGUGGAACCGCAGGGCGAACUGCUGAUCUUGAGGAAGCUAGAGGCUGGUAGAACGAUAGGUGGAGCGGUGGAAUGCGUAGAGAUCUAUCGGAAUGCCGAAAGUGAAGACAGCCAGCUGGGGCUUUCCUGACGCUAAAGCACGAAAGCGUGGGGAGCAAACCGG
RNAcentral lists this ribosomal RNA (253 nucleotides) under uncultured bacterium. Its description in RNAcentral is "partial 16S ribosomal RNA". It matches the Rfam family "Bacterial small subunit ribosomal RNA", at positions 524 to 776 of the family's 1533-position model. The record is from RNAcentral.